GCUGACUGCGUGCGAGAAGCGUGGGUAGUGCGAAGGGGGUGAGGGUUGUUCGGAAUGACUGGGCGGAAAGGGCGCGUAGUCCGUGCUGUAAGGCAGGCGUGAAAUCCCCGGGCUCAACCUGGGAAUUGCACUUGAUACUGCAGCGCUGGAAUGCGGGAGAGGAUGGCGGAAUUCCCAGUGUAGAGGUGAAAUUCGUAGAUAUUGGGAAGAACACCGGUGGCGAAGGCGGCCAUCUGGCCCGUAAUUGACGCUGAGGCGCGAAAGCGUGGGGAGCAAACAGGAUUAGAUACCCCAGUAGUC
This 300-nucleotide ribosomal RNA is filed under the name uncultured Symbiobacterium sp. RNAcentral's name for it is "bacterial SSU rRNA". It matches the Rfam family "Bacterial small subunit ribosomal RNA", at positions 496 to 795 of the family's 1533-position model. The record is from RNAcentral. Lineage: Bacteria; Bacillati; Bacillota; Clostridia; Eubacteriales; Symbiobacteriaceae.